Non-coding RNA from Biomphalaria pfeifferi, 876 nucleotides. NCBI's taxonomy places the organism in Eukaryota, Metazoa, Mollusca, Gastropoda, Planorbidae. The record is from the annotation of a GenBank genome assembly.
AUAGAAAAUUCUAGAAUUUUAAAUUACUUAUUUUAAAAUUUUCUAUUUUUUUGCCCCCCUUAAAGUUUGGUUUGUAUAAUGAUUGUUUUUUUUAAAGAGUCAUUUCUGAUGUAUCAAAUUACACAAUGCUGUAAUGAAAUUAAUGGGAAUUUUUAAAAAAUUAACAUGAAUUAAAAAAAAAAAACGGCAACUAUGUUUGAUUAGCCUACCUAAGCCCAUUACCUAUGUUGAUUCUCAUUAACCUUUAUAAAUUGUUACUUGUUACUUCCUGACCAACUAGAUCUGUGAAAGCCACUCCAUCUAAUUAUUCCUCCAUUAAAUUCUGUUCGCUUUAUCUUUUCCUUUUUAUGGUUUGUAUUUAUAAAUUAGUGUCCUAUGAUCAAAGUUGAUAAAAAUGUAUUGUUGUAAUAGCACUACUUUGUAAAAGCUACAAUUUUUAUUUUAUGAUUUUUGUUGAAACAAAGAAAAGAAAAGGGAAAUAGUGCUUAACUUAUUUUAGAAAUAUGACUGAAGACAGACUAAAGGGCAAUAACUCAACAAAGGUUAUAAAAACACUUGUUUAUUAACACGUUUUUGAUGGAUAAUAUAUUGAUUCAUUAUAAAUAUAUCAUUAGCAAAAUUUAUUAUUUUUGUUACACAUUCAGUUUUGUUUUUGCAAUAUUUCAAAUGUUGUCUUCUAACAAAAAAGCUUUAAUUUAUGAUUGAAGUUAGUUCCAUAGUAAAUAUUUCUGUGAUGACAAACAAACAAUGAAAUGUUUUCAAAUUCCAAUAAACAUUAUGAUUUGAAAAAAAAAAAAUUCAUUAACAUUGUUAAACAGUUUUAUUUAGUUACAGUACUUCUUAUUCCAUUCCAAACUCAGUCAGAAAUAGGAAACA